CCUACGGGAGGCAGCAGUGAGGAAUAUUGGUCAAUGGGCGUAAGCCUGAACCAGCCAAGUCGCGUGAGGGAUGAAGGUUCUAUGGAUCGUAAACCUCUUUUAUAAGGGAAUAAAGUGUGGGACGUGUCCUGGUUUGUAUGUACCUUAUGAAUAAGGAUCGGCUAACUCCGUGCCAGCAGCCGCGGUAAUACGGAGGAUGCGAGUGUUAUCCGGAUUUAUUGGGGUUAAAGGGUGCGCAGGCGGAAGAUCACGUCAGCGGUAAAAUUGAGAGGCUCAACCUCUUCGAGCCGUUGAAACUGGUUGUCUUGAGUGAGCGAGAAGUAUGCGGAAUGCGUGGUGUAGCGGUGAAAUGCAUAGAUAUCACGCAGAACUCCGAUUGCGAAGGCAGCAUACCGGCGCUCAACUGACGCUCAUGCACGAAAGUGUGGGUAUCGAACAGGAUUAGAUACCCCAGUAGUC
This 459-nucleotide ribosomal RNA is filed under the name uncultured bacterium. Its description in RNAcentral is "partial 16S ribosomal RNA". It matches the Rfam family "Bacterial small subunit ribosomal RNA", at positions 338 to 795 of the family's 1533-position model. The record is from RNAcentral.